This 253-nucleotide ribosomal RNA is filed under the name uncultured bacterium. Its description in RNAcentral is "partial 16S ribosomal RNA". It matches the Rfam family "Bacterial small subunit ribosomal RNA", at positions 524 to 776 of the family's 1533-position model. The record is from RNAcentral.
AACGUAGGAGACAAACGUUAUCCGGAGUUACUGGGCGUAAAGGGCGUGUAGGUGGUUUCGUAAGCCUGGCGUGAAAUAUCUCGGCUUAACCGAGGCAGGUCGUCGGAUACUGCGGGACUAGAGGACGGUAGAGGCGUGUGGAAUUCCGGGUGUAGUGGUGAAAUGCGUAGAGAUCCGGAGGAACACCAGUGGCGAAGGCGACACGCUGGGCCGUACCUGACACUGAUGCGCGACAGCAUGGGGAGCAAACAGG